ACGGGAUUAGCUCAGUUGGUAGAGCACCGGUCUCCAAAACCGGGUGUCGGGAGUUCGAGUCUCUCAUCCCGUGCAA
RNAcentral lists this transfer RNA (76 nucleotides) under bacterium J10(2018). RNAcentral's name for it is "tRNA-Trp". It matches the Rfam family "tRNA". Rfam says of the family: Transfer RNA (tRNA) molecules are approximately 80 nucleotides in length. Their secondary structure includes four short double-helical elements and three loops (D, anti-codon, and T loops). The record is from RNAcentral.